RNAcentral lists this transfer RNA (77 nucleotides) under Gallionellaceae bacterium CG1_02_56_997. RNAcentral describes it as "tRNA-Arg". It matches the Rfam family "tRNA". From Rfam's summary of the family: Transfer RNA (tRNA) molecules are approximately 80 nucleotides in length. Their secondary structure includes four short double-helical elements and three loops (D, anti-codon, and T loops). Lineage: Bacteria; Pseudomonadati; Pseudomonadota; Betaproteobacteria; Nitrosomonadales; Gallionellaceae. The record is from RNAcentral. RNAcentral also lists the same sequence under 3 other names.
GCGCCCGUAGCUCAGAUGGAUAGAGUAUAGCCCUCCGAAGGCUGGGGUCGCACGUUCGAAUCGUGUCGGGCGCACCA